ACCGCCCUCUUUCUUCAUGCCUAACACAUGCAAGUCGAACGAGACCUUCGGGUCUAGUGGCGCACGGGUGCGUAACGCGUGGGAACCUGCCCUUAGGUUCGGAAUAACUCCCCGAAAGGGGUGCUAAUACCGGAUAAUGUCUUCGGACCAAAGAUUUAUCGCCUUUGGAUGGGCCCGCGUUGGAUUAGCUAGUUGGUAGGGUAAAAGCCUACCAAGGCGACGAUCCAUAGCUGGUCUGAGAGGAUGAUCAGCCACACUGGGACUGAGGCACGGCCCAGACUCCUACGGGAGGCAGCAGUGGGGAAUAUUGGACAAUGGGCGAAAGCCUGAUCCAGCAAUGCCGCGUGAGUGAUGAAGGCCUUAGGGUUGUAAAGCUCUUUUACCCGGGAUGAUAAUGACAGUACCGGGAGAAUAAGCUCCGGCUAACUCCGUG
This 433-nucleotide ribosomal RNA is filed under the name uncultured bacterium. RNAcentral describes it as "partial 16S ribosomal RNA". It matches the Rfam family "Bacterial small subunit ribosomal RNA", at positions 36 to 507 of the family's 1533-position model. The record is from RNAcentral.